GGAAGAUUUGCUGUCCUCAGACUGGACAGUCCUUAGCUUUGCGCUUAUCACAUAAAUGGCAUUUAAUAAAAGCUUCCUGGACUCAGCACCGCUCCUGAAGGCCUGUAUUGUGGUCAGACAAUUAUCGUUUCUUCCACAGAUGAGCUCAUUCUUCUCUCAGGAUUAACCCUUUCCCCUUCACUGAGGCAUCUGACACCAGCAUUCGGAGGAACACCCACUCCUUCCCCUUCUGUCAGCUGCCUGUGGAAAUUCCCGUCCCAAACAUGUGACUCCCCACAGAGUGACACUCACUGAUCACGAGUCUUAACUUUAAAAGGUUAAAACCACAAAAUGGGGGAGCAGCAGAGAGAGGACGUGGCGCGGAGGAAAGACAGACACACCUGCACACGCACGGUGGGACGGGCAACGCUCACCCCAGGACCCGGUGCGGAGGAGAGACACUCACGGCGGGACGGGCAGCCACGUGUGCUCACCCCAGGACCUGGCGCGGAGGCAGGAACAGACACACCUGCACACGCACGGCGGGACAGGCAGCCACACACACUCGCCCCAGGACCUGGCGCGGAGGAGAGACACCUGGCGCGGAGGUGGGAACAGACACACCUGCACACGCACGAUGGGGUGGGCAGCCUCAUGCUCACCGUUGCAGCCUCAUAUUCUCUGCUGGAACACAAGGAUUUUGCAUCUGUCAUUGUUCUGCUGGGGAUGCAUGGGGAGAAGCUGUGA
RNAcentral lists this long non-coding RNA (726 nucleotides) under Papio anubis (olive baboon). RNAcentral's name for it is "lncRNA (ENSPANG00000040819.1)". The record is from RNAcentral. Lineage: Eukaryota; Metazoa; Chordata; Mammalia; Primates; Cercopithecidae.